RNAcentral lists this long non-coding RNA (733 nucleotides) under Medicago truncatula (barrel medic). RNAcentral describes it as "long non-coding RNA (MTRU_LNC001802)". The record is from RNAcentral. Lineage: Eukaryota; Viridiplantae; Streptophyta; Magnoliopsida; Fabales; Fabaceae.
UUUGAUAUCUAAACAAUGUUACAGAAGAUGCGUCUUUGCAUGAAUUCCUUAACUGUAGGAACUACAUAUCUAUGAUCACAAAAUCUCACAUUCCUUGAGCUAACACUAAUAUUAAACUUAUGAUUCCCAAUAUGCAAAGAGAAAUACAAGAUCCUUAACGUUGCAUCUCAAAAAUCUACAUGCAACAUAAACUCCUCUUAGACAGUAAGUGAGCAUCUGCUUCAGUUGAUAUGAAAAAUUGAAAUGUCUGAAAUUUCAUCCCAUUGCUUCGUAUGACACUUCCUAUAAGGAUAAACCAUACAAAAAGGAUGGUUAUUUACAAGCAGGCAAUUAGAAGUUGUGAAUUUGUUCCUCAUAUUUUUUAUUUUAUUAAUUCAAGUGGCACUAAUAGCCAUUUUAUAUACGUUCCCGAGCAGAUUCACACAACAUAUAAAGUGGUGGAGGAAAUCAAGCAUGUCUCUUUGGUUUUGGGCGUUGAGUAGGUUGAAGAUUGCUUCUUGCCUCUUUUACGAGUGGUGUUGGAACCCAAGGGAGUGCCUUCGGAGAUAGUUUUGAGAGGGUGUUUUGGGGUGCUGCUGUACCUGUUUUUUCUGAUGGCUGCUGUCCACUUUUUUACUGUUUUGCGCCUCAUGUGUGCGGCUGUUUCCGGCCUGUGUGCUGCUGUUUUUUGCGCCUCACAUGUGACAGGAAGUGGUUGAUCAGUUUUAGGAGGUCCUGUGGGUUUAUUAGGUGU